This 79-nucleotide transfer RNA is filed under the name Candidatus Omnitrophota bacterium. RNAcentral describes it as "Candidatus Omnitrophica bacterium tRNA-Asp". It matches the Rfam family "tRNA". Rfam says of the family: Transfer RNA (tRNA) molecules are approximately 80 nucleotides in length. Their secondary structure includes four short double-helical elements and three loops (D, anti-codon, and T loops). Further hydrogen bonds mediate the characteristic L-shaped molecular structure. tRNAs have two regions of fundamental functional importance: the anti-codon, which is responsible for specific mRNA codon recognition, and the 3' end, to which the tRNAs corresponding amino acid is attached (by aminoacyl-tRNA synthetases). tRNAs cope with the degeneracy of the genetic code in two manners: having more than one tRNA (with a specific anti-codon) for a particular amino acid; and 'wobble' base-pairing, i.e. permitting non-standard base-pairing at the 3rd anti-codon position. Lineage: Bacteria; Pseudomonadati; Candidatus Omnitrophota. The record is from RNAcentral.
GGGGUCGUCGAUUAGCCUGGUUUAAGUCCCCUGCCUGUCACGCAGGUGAUCGUGGGUUCAAAUCCCAUCGACCCCGCCA